Ochotona princeps (American pika) is the source of this 191-nucleotide unclassified non-coding RNA. Its record names the gene 7SK. It matches the Rfam family "7SK RNA". Rfam says of the family: 7SK was discovered as an abundant small nuclear RNA in the mid-70s but a possible function has only recently been suggested. Two independent studies have found that 7SK RNA binds the CDK9/cyclin T complex (known as elongation factor P-TEFb). The record is from Ensembl. NCBI's taxonomy places the organism in Eukaryota, Metazoa, Chordata, Mammalia, Lagomorpha, Ochotonidae.
AUGUGCGUCCCUCCCAAAGCUGCACACUUAGUCAAGAGGACGACCAUUCCCACUAGAGGAGGACCAGUCUUGGGUCAAGGGUAUAUGAGUAGCUGUGCUCCCCUGCUAGAAUCUCCAAACAAGCUCUCAAGAAAGCAAAUGUUUGAUUUUGAGGGUUGUAAUUAUUAAAAAAAUAGGUAACGUUCCUGUAU